AGCGCAGUCUGUAGUGUAAAAUCGCUUUGAGUGGUUGCAAAGCGACUAGAAAAACGAUAUAUAAGUGCAGGUCCAUUUACCAUUUACCAUAAGUGAAGUAGUUACAAUGGUCACAUGACUACUAAGUUUCAUGAAAGACGUAAGUUACGUAAACAACAUAACUUAAGUUAAAAAUAAUUUACGUUUGUUUUCAGAUGGGAUGCUAACACGACUCUUCUGGGUGACGGUUCGCCAUUUGUUCGACACAUCCAUCACCCAAACCUCCAACUAACCAAAUAUCAACCCUGAUAUAUAACGGAGGUCAAAGGUCAGGUUCUGUAACAAAGAAGAAGCCCUGGAGGUGUAAUGUAUCUAGCAAGGUGGAAGAAUACUGAUGUAUUGCUCCCAGCUCCUCGCCGCUGCUGAUCUGCCUUCAGUCAGGUGGCAACAAAAGCCCAUUUAUUUGGGCCUGCAUUUCCACUGGCUAAGUGUUGGAGUGUGGUGUUAGCAGAGUGCAUUAUAAAUACAGCCAAGCUUGUCGCUGUCCCCCCUAAACCCCCCCGGAAGGCCCAGACUCCUGGGGAGCUCCAAACACCAGGUAAUUAUCCACCACCGUACCGCCCGCUGCUUCACUACCUGUGUGUCCAGCAUCACUAGAGAGAAGGAUAGAUGGAUGGGGUGGGGGAGAGAGACGAGGAGGGAUGGAUGGAAAUGGAGAGGGAUCAAGGUAGAAGGACAGAGAAUGUGUGUGAGUGUAUGUG
Long non-coding RNA from Centropristis striata (black sea bass), 740 nucleotides. RefSeq lists it as uncharacterized. The record is from RefSeq and is a predicted model, not a curated record. NCBI's taxonomy places the organism in Eukaryota, Metazoa, Chordata, Actinopteri, Perciformes, Serranidae. The transcript has 4 exons.